AUGGCUGCGCCCACGAAGAGCGUGUCGAAAGCUCCUCUGUCGUUUUUAUCAUAAAAUUUGUGUCUACUUGUCUAAUUUAGGGACAAUGAAAGACCACAAGCAGAACUCGGGAAUGGCCAGCCCCAACACAAGCUGGAAUGAGUGUGAAUUGCUUGAAGAAAUUAUCAGUUGAAUAGAUGACGACUACCUCCAUAUAUUGG
Molecule: long non-coding RNA, 200 nt
Organism: Lingula anatina
Lineage: Eukaryota; Metazoa; Brachiopoda; Lingulata; Lingulida; Lingulidae
Source: RefSeq, a predicted model, not a curated record